CUCUACUUUUCGAGCGCGGCGAAUUCGAUACAGUUUUGUAAAUCCGAGAUAGAAUGAGAAUUAGCCAACGAGGUCUAAAUGAAAGUUGAAGAUCUCAUUAAUAGGAACUCAACGGUAAAAAGACAGACAAAAACGGAGCUCGUAUGCAAAAGUUACGGACGAAGCUUAGAGACUACUUUACUAUAAAACUCCUAUAAAUACAAGGGUGAACUCCUCAUAUUUUCUUCACACCAUAAGCCUCUCUUUCUCUCUCUAACUUCUCUCUAGCCUCCCUAAGCCCCUCCCAAGUCUAGGGAACCUCCCUAUCACGAGAAGAAAGCCCCGGAGCGCCCGACGGCUCCGAGAAGAAAAGCUUUCGGCUCGGAAACGCUGCUCCAGCGAAGCCCGGUUUUUAAUAAAAACCCAUUGUUUUGGUCAAGGAAAAAUUGUUUUAAGAAGUAACGAAGAGUUGUCCGAGUGCCGAGUCACCACCUUACCAGGUAGUGGCGCAUGAGCAUAGGUGUGAUGUUUUGGACGAGGGAUUACGGAUAUAGGCCUGUAGAUAUGAAAUAAUGUAGUAAGGCUUAUAUUGUAUUGUUUAUGCUUUUGAUCUGUACGAACAUGACAUCCCGAGUCUUUUAAUGAAAUACAUUUCUAUGGAAAUGCUUUUGAUAAAUCUUUAUCAUAUUUUUGUUUUGGGACAAAUUCCGCAACACUUUCAUUUAAAAUGUAACUCUGAUUUUUAAACAAAGCAUAAACAAACCGGUCUUUUCUGGCCGUGAUUUUGGGGAUGUCACAGAGGAGGGACUCGACGUGCCAAGUGAGGCUAGAAGGAUUCAGAGGACCCGUGUGGACUCGUCGAGUCGCCCACGAGCACUCGACAAGUCUGGUCAAAGUUGACCGUUAACUAGAUUUGACUUCGUUGACUAUUAGGAUUUAGUCAAUGUUUUGACUUUUGAGCCAUUGGAGGGGUAGAAUGGUCUUUUACCCUUCUUAGAGAACUUAGAGAGGGAUUAGCCUGGUCUUUGAAAGUCGUAUUGAUUAGAGUAAUAAUUUUAUGUGAUUAGGCGGAGGCUAGAUCUGUAUUUCCGAGUUCGAGGGUUACCGAGUUAUCCGAGGUGAGUCUUCUCACUAUACUUUACUUAGAGUGGUAGUUAGAGUUAUGUGACAGAGUAUGUUGUAUGCUAUUAUAUGAUGUGACAUCUAUGUGAUUAUGUGCUAUAUGUGAUUCAGAGUUACAGAGUUAUGACCGAAGGGUCCACAGAGUUAGGACCAGAGUCCACAGAGUUAUAGGACUGGAGGGUCCCACUGAGACACUUUGACCAGAGGGUCAUACAGAGUUAUAGCCUCGAGUGGCUAAUACGUGUUGUACGUGGUAUUUUGGGGAACUCACUAAGCAUUUAUGCUUACAAUGUUUUGUGUUAUGUGUUUCAGGUACCAGUGAGGAUCGCGGGAAGGCGCCGACAUGAUCGGUACACACUAUUGGAUUUUUUAUACAUUCUGAUCAUGGGAUGUGUUUUAUGUAUUUGAUAUGUGAUACAUUGAGAUUUGAGAAUAUUUAUGAAUGAAAAUUACAUUUUUAAGAAGUGAAAAAUUGUUUUGAAAUUUACGUCAUUACAAUAUUGACGAUCCCUGCAUUUCUAUCUAGUUAUGUUUGACUAAAAACAUAUCAAAAUAAAAUCCUUAAUUCAAGCAAGAAGCCUGAGAUAUCACCUUUCCAAUUUUAACCUUUUGCUUCAAGGCAUAAAUAGAGGGUUCUAAUCAUUUAAUCCAACAUUAUCAACAUUCGAAAGGGUCUAAACUCUAUUCCUUUGAAGCCCAAGACCUUCACUUGAUCAGAUUACAGUCCGAUGUCCCGAAAUAAGAACAUCGCCGAAACUAGGUGUUACCUUAAUAUUAUGAGAAACCACAAAGACCAUUUAUGAAUAUUUAUGUAAAUUAAUGUAUAGUUUAUGCCUUCCCCAAUGAAUAAAAUAUCUUUUGUUAUAAAGGAUGAUGAUUUUAAAUUACAAAUUGGAAUUUGUUAAUGCACUCAAGACACUGAUAAAAAAUAUGUUGUUUCAGACCUCCAAUGAAUCAUGAUGAGGCGACUAAUAAGGUUGUAAGGAGUGGUGUCAGCAUUAUCAAGCACUACUUGAUAGUUUCAUUUUAUUUACUUCUUUUUAUAGUUUAUUCUAACAUAUUUCAUCCAUAAUUUAGUUAAUUUCCAUGCAUAUUUUCCUUUUUGUUAUUUUAUGACCAUUUCGGGUACUUUCUAGUUUCGUGAGCUUUAUUGCAGAUUUCAUGGAGAUUAGUGGAGCGGGAAUGUUCGGGACAUAUGGAAAGCGAUUGGAAUAAGAGGACAUCGAGGAUUUUGGGCUUGACGGGUAGUGGAGAUGAUGCAUGGAGCGAGCUUGAUGAUUAUUUGAAGGCUUGGAGAGAAAUAAACUUUAAAUUUGCAAGAUGCUGGAGAAUAUUCAAGCGUGCGUAGAUUAUUAAUCGGGCGAGUUUACGAGCUAUGGAGGAUUUGGAGAAGCCAAAUCGGGCUUAAAAUGAAGAAAACUUGAAGAAAAAUGGGCUAGGAGCUGAUUGGACUCGAAUUGGGCCAAAUGGGCUAAGCUAUGGAGGCCCAAACCUCAAAGAGGCCACAUUCAGGAACCACCCAUGCAAUAGCAUGCGGGUCACACACAGCACUGCAGGGGCAAAUUCGGAGUUUCAUUUGGAAGGCUAUUUGAGGAAGGUUGGUGCCCAUCUUUUGGAGACUCUUAGACACCCGAUUUUGGAGCAUUCUCUCUGGAGUUUUGAAGACUUUUGAAGGCCAAAAACACCUCAAGAACAUCAUCUUUUCACCUCUUGAUUCUUGUUCAAUGUUUGGUACAAUCGUUUCUAACUUUGUUUUCUUAAGU
Molecule: non-coding RNA, 2864 nt
Organism: Lactuca sativa (garden lettuce)
Lineage: Eukaryota; Viridiplantae; Streptophyta; Magnoliopsida; Asterales; Asteraceae
Source: RefSeq, a predicted model, not a curated record